UCAGAUAGAACAAUCUGGGUCUUUGACUUCUCACUCCAGAAUGCCAGUCACAUGGCAAACAAGAUGCACUUUUAUCUUGUUUAAGCCAAUUUUUAUUUUCAUUUUUUUUUUUUUUAUUAUAUAUUUUUCAGACGGGGUUUCACCAUGUUGGUCAGGCUGGUGGUCUUGAACUCCCGACCUUAGGUGAUUCGCCCACCUUGGCCUCCAAAGUGCCUGGAUUACAGGUGUGAGCCACCACGCCCAGCCGUUUAAGCUUUCUCUAUUGCUUUGUUUGUUUUUUUACAGUGGUCAAACAGUAGCCUAAUAUAGACAUAGUUUUUGAAAGUCUGUCUGUACUCCCAACUCUCAUCCAAUGUGGGACUGGAAUGUAAGCCCCGUGAAGAGUAGGGGCUGUUUUUUGGUUCACUGAAACAGUGCCUGACACACUAAACAUUCAGUAAACAUUGAAUGAAUGAAUAGCAAAACCAUCAACACAGUACUAGGCCUGGAGUGCUCCCCUGAGGAAGAAUGUGGCUGGUCAGUAUAAGUAAGCGAUUGGUACAGCAACAUGCUGCGUGUGUGGCUGGUUUUCUGUUUUGACUGAAUCACAAUCGCAGAAUAUGACCUGCUAUUUUCAUUAUCUGAGAGGCAUAAACACUUGUAACAUAGUUGUAUAUUUCUUUUGUAAGUUAAAUGAAGACUCUCAGGUAAAGUUUAUUGUGGUAAUGAAAUUGGGUCAUAGAAGCAUGGAAAACUGUGACGAGGUUCACACCCAUGAGGAAAGGUCACAAGCAACACACUGUGCAUUGAAGGAGAAAAGCAGCUUUUGUACUGAGAUCUCGAGAUGUGUAGCUGGCAUGUGCCUCAUCUCGGAAGAACCACAAAGAAUCGCACAAGUCAGUCAAAAUGAAACGGAAACAUCUGAGGGUAUCAUCAAGACGCGUGGGGUAAAAGCCACUGAGUUCCAGGAUCCCGUGCUCUGGAUCACAUUUCGAAAGUCGCUUAUUACAGAUAAAGCACCUUUCCAGGUACGCUUCGGAAAACCAUAU
This 1028-nucleotide long non-coding RNA is filed under the name Callithrix jacchus (white-tufted-ear marmoset). Its description in RNAcentral is "lncRNA (ENSCJAG00000082674.1)". The record is from RNAcentral. Lineage: Eukaryota; Metazoa; Chordata; Mammalia; Primates; Cebidae.